Molecule: ribosomal RNA, 492 nt
Filed under: uncultured bacterium
Lineage: Bacteria
Description: bacterial SSU rRNA
Rfam family: Bacterial small subunit ribosomal RNA
Source: RNAcentral
AAAGGAAUUGACGGGGGCCCGCACAAGCAGUGGAGUAUGUGGUUUAAUUCGAAGCAACGCGAAGAACCUUACCAGGGCUUGACAUCUACCGAAUUUCAAGAGAUUGAAAGUGCCUUUUAGGAGCGGUAAGACAGGUGGUGCAUGGUUGUCGUCAGCUCGUGUCGUGAGAUGUUGGGUUAAGUCCCGCAACGAGCGCAACCCUUAUUGUUAGUUGCCAUCAUUUAGUUGGGCACUCUAACGAGACUGCCGGUGACAAAUCGGAGGAAGGUGGGGACGACGUCAAAUCAUCAUGCCCCUUAUGUCCUGGGCUACACACGUACUACAAUGGUCGUUAACAACGGGAAGCUAAGCCGCGAGGUGGAGCAAAUCCCCAAAAACGGUCUCAGUUCGGAUUGCAGGCUGAAACCCGCCUGCAUGAAGUCGGAAUUGCUAGUAAUCGCAAAUCAGCAUGUUGCGGUGAAUACGUUCCCGGGCCUUGUACACACCGCCCGU